GUCUUGGUGUAAUCGUCGCUGGAGGGAAGGUCCUGGCUCUCAUCCGAAAUAUUUCUCAUUUGUUUUUAUCAGGUCUUCACUGUGCUCCAGCUGCAGUAUCAGUGGAAUUGUGUGAUGUGGAUAUGAUGGAAGGAAAGGCAUUCAACACCAACAUCUUUCCGGAUGCCUGGCAGCACCAGUUACCACUGCAGUGGCUGGGCCUGGGUCCAGAGCUCCCAUUAUUCCUGUUUUGUAGAGGUGGGCCCAGAAAAAUGACAGAAGACACCCAAGCUCCAGCAGCAGAUUUGGUGAAUAUCCUUCAGCCUUCCCAGUUCUGCUUGCAGGUUUCAGUUUCACUCCGAGCUGUGAUUCAUUUCUGUCCCCUUUGUCUCCGUGUCUCUCCUUCCUAGUGACCCAGCCUCCUUUUGGCCUUCAGUGGGGUGAAGAGAAGUGUGAGUUGUGCCUGGUGUCUUCCAUCAGCCCUGAGCCGCCCAGGGCCGAGCUGGGGGACAGAUAGCAGCACACAGAGCUUCAUUUUCCUCAGCUCUUCAGCCACGUCAAACACUUCUUACAAUAAUAGACUCCAAUGUGCGGUUGAUGUCCAGGACAGACAGAGGUCUUGGCAGAAGCUGGGAUUGCUUUCCCAUUUCACUGAGUUUAUAAAAAUGACAUUUUUGAACUUUAAAUCUUAGCAUUCAUGACCCUUAGUAUUUUCCCUCUUUUUGUCACUCGCUUCUUUGAAGAUCAAGUCACCUAUUCCUCCAGCUUAAGACAAUGUUUCAGGUGAUAAGAAAAGACAAAACAUCAGAGACCCCAGAGGUGCCAAUUGUCUACUCCUUUCAUGCUAACAACUUGCAUUUCUACUCAUUGGUUACAGAAAAGUAACUACCUCUUUCUCUCAGCGUGCUGUGGGGGGCUUUGUCUGUGCCAAAGUAGCUAGAUCAGACUUUUUAAUGAGCAAGACUCAAAAAAAGUAAAUUGACUUUUUACAGGGAAACAGGCCAUUCCUCAAAAACUGUUAAAGAUUCUGUCAUCCAGAAUAUCCCUAUCCUGUUGACCUUAUUUACAGAUUUCAUGAAAAAUACAUCAUCGUAACAUUGAUAUAUGGACCCUGUAGCAUCCAAUUUCUU
This 1109-nucleotide long non-coding RNA is filed under the name Equus caballus (horse). Its description in RNAcentral is "lncRNA (ENSECAG00000033514.3)". The record is from RNAcentral. Lineage: Eukaryota; Metazoa; Chordata; Mammalia; Perissodactyla; Equidae.